UAAGACGAGCCUCACGAACGUUAUUCGGAAUUACUGGGCUUAAAGGGUGCGUAGGCGGCGCGGAAAGUAGGGUGUGAAAUCCCUCGGCUCAACCGAGGAACUGCGCUCUAAACUACCGUGCUCGAGGGAGAUAGAGGUAAGCGGAACUUAGGGUGGAGCGGUGAAAUGCGUUGAUAUCCUAAGGAACACCGGUGGCGAAAGCGGCUUACUGGAUCUCUUCUGACGCUGAGGCACGAAAGCUAGGGUAGCGAACGGGAUUAGAUACCCCGGUAGUCCUAGCCGUAAACGAUGAGCACUGGAUCGAAGGGUCCUCCAUAGCCUUUUGGUCGCAGCGAAAGUGUUAAGUGCUCCGCCUGGGGAGUAUGGUCGCAAGGCUG
RNAcentral lists this ribosomal RNA (377 nucleotides) under uncultured bacterium. RNAcentral describes it as "bacterial SSU rRNA". It matches the Rfam family "Bacterial small subunit ribosomal RNA", at positions 521 to 896 of the family's 1533-position model. The record is from RNAcentral.